UACGGGGGGGGCAAGCGUUGUUCGGAAUUACUGGGCGUAAAGGGCUCGUAGGUGGCCAACUCAGUCAGACGUGAAAUCCCUCGGCUUAACCGGGGAACUGCGUCUGAUACUGGAUGGCUUGAGUUCGGGAGAGGGAUGCGGAAUUCCAGGUGUAGCGGUGAAAUGCGUAGAUAUCUGGAGGAACACCGGUGGCGAAGGCGGCAUCCUGGACCGACACUGACGCUGAGGAGCGAAAGCCAGGGGAGCAAACGGG
RNAcentral lists this ribosomal RNA (253 nucleotides) under uncultured bacterium. RNAcentral describes it as "partial 16S ribosomal RNA". It matches the Rfam family "Bacterial small subunit ribosomal RNA", at positions 524 to 776 of the family's 1533-position model. The record is from RNAcentral.